AGGAAAUAGAUACCCGGGUAGUCCACGCUGUAAACGAUGAGUGCUAGAUGUUGGUGGAGGAAAUCCAUCAGUGUCGCAGCUAACGCAUUAAGCACUCCGCCUGGGGAGUACGGUCGCAAGAUUAAAACUCAAAGGAAUUGACGGGGGCUCGAACAAGCGGUGGAGUAUGUGGUUUAAUUCGACGCAACGCGAAAAACCUUACCAGCUCUUGACAUGGGAAUUAUGGAUAUCAGAGAUGAUAUUCUUCGGUUCGGCCGGGUUCCACACAGGUGCUGCAUGGCUGUCGUCAGCUCGUGUCGUGAGAUGUUGGGUUAAGCCCCGCAACGAGCGCAACCCUCAUCAUUAGUUGCCAUCAGGUUUGGCUGGGCACUUUAAUGAAACUGCCGGUGAUAAGCCGGGGGAAGGUGGGGAUGACGUCAAGUCCUCAUGGCCCUUAUGGGCUGGGCUACACACGUACUACAAUGGUGAGACAACGGGCAAGCGAAGGGGCGAACCCCUAGCCAAUCCUUUAAAAAACCCAUCUCAGUUCGGAUUGUCC
This 538-nucleotide ribosomal RNA is filed under the name uncultured bacterium. RNAcentral describes it as "bacterial SSU rRNA". It matches the Rfam family "Bacterial small subunit ribosomal RNA", at positions 774 to 1303 of the family's 1533-position model. The record is from RNAcentral.